AGUCUUAGUGCAAUUUUAAGCUAUUAAAU
Molecule: microRNA, 29 nt
Filed under: Vombatus ursinus (common wombat)
Lineage: Eukaryota; Metazoa; Chordata; Mammalia; Diprotodontia; Vombatidae
Description: miRNA (ENSVURG00010008540.1)
Source: RNAcentral